GAUGAACGCUGGCGGCGUGCCUAAUACAUGCAAGUCGAGCGAACAGACGAGAAGCUUGCUCCUCUGACGUUAGCGGCUGACGGGUGAGUAACACGUGGAUAACCUACCUAUUAGACUGGGAUAACUUCGGGAAACCGGAGCUACUACCGGCUAAUAUAUUGAACCGCUUGGUUCAAUAGUGCAUGACGGUUUUGCUGUCUCUUUUAGAUGGAUCCGCGUCGCAUUAGCUAGUUGGUAAGGUAACGGCUUACCAAGGCGACGAUGCGUAGCCGACCUGAGAGGGUGAUCAGCCACACUGGAACUGAGACACGGUCCAGACUCCUACGGGAGGCAGCAGUAGGGAAUCUUCCACAAUGGGCGAAAGCCUGACGGAGCAACGCCGCGUGAGUGAAGAAGGUCUUCGGAUCGUAAAACUCUGUUAUUAGGGAAGAAAAAAUGUGUAAGUAACUAUGCACGUCUUGACGGUACCUAAUCAGAAAGCCACGGCUAACUACGUG
RNAcentral lists this ribosomal RNA (497 nucleotides) under uncultured bacterium. RNAcentral's name for it is "partial 16S ribosomal RNA". It matches the Rfam family "Bacterial small subunit ribosomal RNA", at positions 28 to 507 of the family's 1533-position model. The record is from RNAcentral.